This 492-nucleotide ribosomal RNA is filed under the name uncultured bacterium. Its description in RNAcentral is "partial 16S ribosomal RNA". It matches the Rfam family "Bacterial small subunit ribosomal RNA", at positions 30 to 523 of the family's 1533-position model. The record is from RNAcentral.
AUUGAACGCUGGCGGCAUGCUUUACACAUGCAAGUCGAACGGUAACAGGUUAAGCUGACGAGUGGCGAACGGGUGAGUAAUGCAUCGGAACGUGCCCGGUCGUGAGGGAUAACGCAGCGAAAGCUGCGCUAAUACCGCAUACGAUCUGAGGAUGAAAGCGGGGGACCGUAAGGCCUCGCGCGAUCGGAGCGGCCGAUGUCAGAUUAGGUAGUUGGUGGGGUAAGGCUCACCAAGCCAACGAUCUGUAGCUGGUCUGAGAGGACGACCAGCCACACUGGGACUGAGACACGGCCCCGACUCCUACGGGAGGCAGCAGUGGGGAAUUUUGGACAAUGGGCGAAAGCCUGAUCCAGCAAUGCCGCGUGCAGGAAGAAGGCCUUCGGGUUGUAAACUGCUUUUGUACGGAGCGAAAAGGUCUCCUCUAAUACAGGGGGCUCAUGACGGUACCGUAAGAAUAAGCACCGGCUAACUACGUGCCAGCAGCCGCGGUAA